RNAcentral lists this unclassified non-coding RNA (253 nucleotides) under uncultured Sphingomonadaceae bacterium. RNAcentral's name for it is "contains 16S-23S intergenic spacer region". It matches the Rfam family "Bacterial small subunit ribosomal RNA", at positions 524 to 776 of the family's 1533-position model. The record is from RNAcentral. Lineage: Bacteria; Pseudomonadati; Pseudomonadota; Alphaproteobacteria; Sphingomonadales; Sphingomonadaceae.
UACGGAGGGAGCUAGCGUUGUUCGGAAUUACUGGGCGUAAAGCGCACGUAGGCGGCGCCGCAAGUCAGGGGUGAAAUCCCGGGGCUCAACCCCGGAACUGCCCUUGAAACUGCAGUGCUAGAAUCCUGGAGAGGCGAGUGGAAUUCCGAGUGUAGAGGUGAAAUUCGUAGAUAUUCGGAAGAACACCAGUGGCGAAGGCGACUCGCUGGACAGGUAUUGACGCUGAGGUGCGAAAGCGUGGGGAGCAAACAGG